RNAcentral lists this transfer RNA (72 nucleotides) under Cnemaspis limi. Its description in RNAcentral is "tRNA-Ser". It matches the Rfam family "tRNA". From Rfam's summary of the family: Transfer RNA (tRNA) molecules are approximately 80 nucleotides in length. Lineage: Eukaryota; Metazoa; Chordata; Lepidosauria; Squamata; Gekkonidae. The record is from RNAcentral.
GAGAAAUAAGCAUCUGUGGUUGUGCGAUUAGCUUGAAACUAGUCUGAGGGGGUUCAAGUCCUUCAUUUCUUG